GCAAAUGUCAAAACACUUUCUGAGAACUCCC
This 31-nucleotide non-coding RNA is filed under the name Macaca fascicularis (crab-eating macaque). The record is from RNAcentral. Lineage: Eukaryota; Metazoa; Chordata; Mammalia; Primates; Cercopithecidae. RNAcentral also lists the same sequence under 1 other name.